AACGAUUUUCCCGUACAGAGGUCAUCGGUUAAAUUCCGUUGGAGAAGCAUUGUAAUAAACCCUGUAUUGCUCUGUAACUGCUGACCAUAAUCUUGCAGAAAAUUACAAAGUAACCGAGCAGUUUAGGGAUUUUCAUACUUUCCUUAUCUUGUAUGAAGAAUCCGGGACACGACUAAAAAGAAUGUCAACGUUAAUAUUAUAUUGGCUGAACGACCGAGCAGGUGGCAACAAACCCGAUGGAACAAAAAAAAUACAAUUUGGAUAAUAUGUGUCGAUUUCCAGUUCCGGAUUUCUUGAAAUCCGAAAAACUUUUGGCAGGUUGAUAAUUAGUAGUUACAUCCUUCGCUAGCUCAACGGAAAUUAACACCACAAGUGGUUCUCUGUUUGAACGCUCUGCCUCAGAUGUGCCGGUAUGGGAAGACGGUCGUGGGCUGCUCUGCAAAAGCAGGACCAUCGAGGACGUGUCGUGGAAGCUGACCAUAGCAGAAGUGUUUAAAGUUUAAAUCGAGCGUAAUGUCGGUAAGCCGCGAUCAGAAAUUUUGUGGAGAAGGUACAUGCGGAAACAGUAUUGCAUGAGCCAUCAUCGCGGUUUGAACAAAUCCAGCCAAUUCAAUAUGAAAUUGUUGCACCAGAACGAAAUGGGGAUCGAUGAACUCUACUGGAAAAACUUCCGCUCUGUAAGUAACAAGCUUAAAAAAAUGUCAUCAACAAAAUAGCUCAGAAAACAGUAGAUAUAGAUAGAUUCGAAUUUUCUUUGGUUUGUAAAUUUUCUUUCGUUUGUACCUUAAUAUAGUUAUAUAGAAACCUGUAAUUUCCUUUA
Uranotaenia lowii is the source of this 820-nucleotide long non-coding RNA. RefSeq lists it as uncharacterized. The record is from RefSeq and is a predicted model, not a curated record. The transcript is spliced from 3 exons. Lineage: Eukaryota; Metazoa; Arthropoda; Insecta; Diptera; Culicidae.